RNAcentral lists this ribosomal RNA (391 nucleotides) under uncultured bacterium. RNAcentral describes it as "bacterial SSU rRNA". It matches the Rfam family "Bacterial small subunit ribosomal RNA", at positions 28 to 416 of the family's 1533-position model. The record is from RNAcentral.
GACGAACGCUGGCGGCGCGCCUAACACAUGCAAGUCGAACGAGAGAUGAAGAGCUUGCUCUUCAAAUCGAGUGGCGAACGGGUGAGUAACGCGUGAGGAACCUGCCUUUCAGAGGGGGACAACAGUUGGAAACGACUGCUAAUACCGCAUAACAUAUAGAUGUCGCAUGGCAUUUAUAUCAAAGAUUUAUCGCUGAAAGAUGGCCUCGCGUCUGAUUAGCUAGUUGGUGAGGUAACGGCCCACCAAGGCGACGAUCAGUAGCCGGACUGAGAGGUUGAACGGCCACAUUGGGACUGAGAUACGGCCCAGACUCCUACGGGAGGCAGCAGUGGGGAAUCUUCCGCAAUGGGCGAAAGCCUGACGGAGCAACGCCGCGUGAGUGAUGACGGCC